AGUCAUUGUGAAAAAAAUUGAAAAAAAAUUGAAAAAAAAAUUUUAAAAAAAGAGUUUAUUUUGUAUUCAAAUUUCUCUAUUGUAAUCAACAUUUUGUAUUCAAAAAAAAUGAAAAGAAGUUGCGAAAUUUAAAAAAAAAAGGAAGUUUUUUGAAAGUGUUCAUAGUUUUCCCGAUCUUCAAAGUACUUUCCACCAAGAACAAACCCAUCGCCACACUUAGC
RNAcentral lists this long non-coding RNA (221 nucleotides) under Gossypium raimondii (Peruvian cotton). RNAcentral describes it as "long non-coding RNA (GRAI_LNC002851)". The record is from RNAcentral. Lineage: Eukaryota; Viridiplantae; Streptophyta; Magnoliopsida; Malvales; Malvaceae.